GACGAACGCUGGCGGCGUGCUUAACACAUGCAAGUCGAACGGAAAGGCCCUGCUUUUGUGGGGUGCUCGAGUGGCGAACGGGUGAGUAACACGUGAGUAACCUGCCCUUGACUUUGGGAUAACUUCAGGAAAAAGGGGAUAAUACCGGAUAGGAGCUCCUGCAGCAUGGUGGGGGUUGGAAAGUUUCGGCGGUUUUGGAUGGACUGGCGGGUUAUCCGCUUGUUGGUGGGGUAGUGGAGUACCAAGGCUUUGAAGGGUAGCCGGCCUGGGAGGGUGACCGGGCACAUUGGGCCUGAGAGACGGACCAGUCUCCAACCUGAGGCAGCAGUGGGGAAUAUUGCACAGUGGGCGGAAGCCUGAUGCAGCAACCCCGCGUGCGUAAUGACGGCUUUCGGGUUGUAAACCGCUUUCUCCUGAGACGAAGCGGUAGUGACGGUACUGGGUAAAGAAGCACCGGCUAACUACGUG
Molecule: ribosomal RNA, 468 nt
Filed under: uncultured bacterium
Lineage: Bacteria
Description: partial 16S ribosomal RNA
Rfam family: Bacterial small subunit ribosomal RNA
Source: RNAcentral